Molecule: ribosomal RNA, 654 nt
Filed under: Triticum aestivum (bread wheat)
Lineage: Eukaryota; Viridiplantae; Streptophyta; Magnoliopsida; Poales; Poaceae
Description: partial small subunit ribosomal RNA
Source: RNAcentral
AUGCAGCAGAUAGGCGCCCUCAUUCCUCUUGCCACCCACCAGUUCCCUCAACAUCCAUGCCGAGUAUACACUACAGGUGGAGGAAGAUCCAAUUACUGCCAACUUGUGAUGCCCGUUGGCCAAGCAUAUCUCCUCCAGCACCAGGUCAAGGCUGCUCCUAGAGCACCCACCCCCCUACAAACUGUGACUACUGUGAACACAAACCAGGAUUCCACUAUAAGGAAGGAUAAAUAUUUCGAAGUUGAGAUGAAAGUUCAUGACACGGAACUCGACAAAUAUGGUGUUGUCAACAAUGCUAUCUACAGUAGUUACAUUCGAAAUGGUCAUGACAAGCUAUUGGAAAGCCUUGGAAUCAGUGUAGACUCGAUGGUAUCCAAAGGCAGUGCACUCGCUCUUUCAGAAGUACAUCUAAAGUACAUUGCACCUUUAAGGCAUUGCCAGAGUGGUGAUAGGUUUGUCGUCAAGGUGAAGCUCGGGCAAAUCAAAGGUGUAAGACUGAUCCUUGAGCACACAAUUGAGACACUGCCAGAUCAUAAGCUCGUAUUGGAAGACAAAGGAACACUUGUUUGCCUUGACAAAGACUAUCAUCCAACUCGCAUAUUCCCAGAGGUCUCAACAAAAUUUCUGCAGUUCUUCUCAUCCAAGGAUGACUAA